GGAAAACUUACCAGGUCCAGAGAUGUAGAGGAUUGACAGAUUGAAGCUCUUUCUUGAUCACUUCAGUGGUGGUGCAUGGCCGUUCUUAGUUGGUGGAGUGAUUUGUCUGGUUAAUUCCGUUAACGAACGAGACCUCAGCCUGCUUUUGUAGUUGCUGUAAUGUCCGCAUUAUAAUUGUGACUUCUUAGAGGGACUAUCGGUGUUGCAGCCGAUGGAAGUUUGAGGCAAUAA
RNAcentral lists this ribosomal RNA (231 nucleotides) under uncultured eukaryote. RNAcentral describes it as "partial 18S ribosomal RNA". It matches the Rfam family "Eukaryotic small subunit ribosomal RNA", at positions 1208 to 1456 of the family's 1831-position model. The record is from RNAcentral.